This 253-nucleotide ribosomal RNA is filed under the name uncultured bacterium. RNAcentral describes it as "partial 16S ribosomal RNA". It matches the Rfam family "Bacterial small subunit ribosomal RNA", at positions 524 to 776 of the family's 1533-position model. The record is from RNAcentral.
UACGAAGGGGGCUAGCGUUGCUCGGAAUCACUGGGCGUAAAGCGCACGUAGGCGGAUCUUUAAGUCAGGGGUGAAAUCCUGGAGCUCAACUCCAGAACUGCCUUCGAUACUGGCGAUCUUGAGUCCGGAAGAGGUGAGUGGAACUCCUAGUGUAGAGGUGGAAUUCGUAGAUAUUAGGAAGAACACCAGUGGCGAAGGCGGCUCACUGGUCCGGUACUGACGCUGAGGUGCGAAAGCGUGGGGAGCAAACAGG